AGUGAAGAGGGAAGAGCCCAGCACCGAAGUCUGCGGCAGUUUUGCUGUUAGGCAAUGUGGUGUGUGGGUCGGCUAGCGGGAUCGUCACUCCACUCGAAGUCCAGCAUUGAGUAUGGUUAUCACUGGAUUUGGCCCAUAGAGGGUGAGAGGCCCGUGCGAGUGGAGGUUCAGAUGUGUGCGACGAUUCACCAGGCCGACCUCAGAGUCGGGUUGUUUGAGAUUGCAGCCCAAAGAGGGUGGUAAACUCCAUCCAAGGCUAAAUACUGGCACGAGUCCGAUAGCGAACAAGUACCGUGAGGGAAAGUUGAAAAGUACUCUGAAGAGAGAGUAAACAGUACGUGAAGCCGCAUGCAGGUAAACGGGUGGCGUCAAGCUGCGAGCCCGGAGGAUUCAGCUGAUUAGGAUGUAGUGUACGCGCGCCUGGUGCGUCGAGAGACCGGAAUAAGAUGUUUUGCGGUCUACUCCUCUAUUAAGGAGUGGGGCACUAUUGGUGUGCACGUGCUUGCAUGUGUGUACUGAUUGUUGCUAUACAUGCCGGGUGGUUACCGGAGUAUGCCGCUCAUCUGUUGGGUCACCUAGUCAGUGCAUUUUCUCCGUGGUGAACACCACGACCGGUGGAACUGCCAGUCUGCUGCUAUCAAGUCGUGUCCUUCUGACCUCUUCAUUUCUUCCUCUCUUAUGGCUACUUACUAUCCAUCUAUUAUCUCUCCUUUGUGGGUGGUAUAAGUGGAUGGUGAUGGUUGUUAUGAGGGAUGUGAGGGGUGGAUGUGUGUGUUGGGUGGAUACGAUCGCAGAUGGAGUUAGUGGACGGCGUAGUGGUGCAUUAGUACCGCCGCGUGUUAUCGUUUACUCUCCAUUGUAAGCGAUUAGUGGGGCUGACUGAGUACUGUGACUGCCUCUCCAUUAAUCGGCGGAUAGCAGCGGUGAAAAUGACUGUGCAGGGCACUGGAGUUAUCCACCUAAAUCAUUCCUUUAUCCAUUUGUUUGUGGAUUCAUUCAUUCAUUCAUUCAUUCAUGUGUGGAUGGAUGGAUGGAUGGAUGGAUUUGUGGAUGAGUGGGUUAAGUGGGUGAAUAUGGUACCCGACACGCAUGUUACAGGUGCUAUUUAAUGGGGACAUGCCGCUGCCUGUCUGGUAUUGGGCCUGACUGCCGUGUUGCCUACGUGUAAAGUAGGUCCGGCAGUGGUUGUAUAUACUUGGCAUUGGUAGUAUGUAGCGUGUCUCGGGUGUAUGUGGUACUAACUAUUGUGGGUGAAAUAGUCAGUGGUGCUGUGGUAGACUAGCCACCCGACCCGUCUUGAAACACGGACCAAGGAGUUUAACAUGUGUGUGAGUCAAAGGGUCCUACGAAACCCCGAGGCAUAAUGAAAGUGAAGUUCAUGCUGUACUCUUGUACGUGCGCAGUGCAGUAUGGCGAGGUGAGAUCUCCUUGUGCUCAUGACACACGCCGCAGCAUACCUUACUGGGCAAUAUUGGGGCAAGGAGCGCAUCACCGGCCCCUCGCAUGUUGUGGUCAUAGGUGUACUUGUAUGUGGAGAGGUGUGUGUAUUAUGUGUGUAUGUAUGUGUGUGUGUGUGUGUGUAUAUAUGUAUGUGUGUGUGCGUUUAUCGCACUACAUAUAAUAUAAUAUGCAUGCAGCAGCAGCAGCAUACAGCAUACACUUGGAAGCGUACAAUGCCUGUGCGUCAGCGCGGCGGAGCAUGAGCACCCAUGUUGAGACCCGAAAGAUGGUGAACUAUGCUUGCGUAGGUUGAAGCCAGAGGAAACUCUGGUGGAGGACCGUAGCGAUUCUGACGUGCAAAUCGAUCGUCAAACGUGAGUAUAGGG
Molecule: ribosomal RNA, 1826 nt
Filed under: Progamotaenia effigia
Lineage: Eukaryota; Metazoa; Platyhelminthes; Cestoda; Cyclophyllidea; Anoplocephalidae
Description: partial 28S ribosomal RNA
Rfam family: Eukaryotic large subunit ribosomal RNA
Source: RNAcentral